CAUAUAUUUAAUACUCUAGAUGACUUCAAAUAUGGCACUAUCUCUUAUCAACAUAUAUUUUGGGCCGUCAGAGUUUUUCCUAACUAUUUCCUCGUGCUGGAAGAAAGCAUCAGCACUUAGUUCACUGCGCAGAGGUUCUUGGAACACCAAUUUGUUGGGGAUUACAAGUAUGGACGGCAAGCGCAUCGGAACUGGAUGCCUCUUCCCCUGCCACGAACAAUCGAUGAGGAAACCGCUCAGGAAAGGGAAGCUUCCCUUUGUGCUUGUUGUGGGUGGUAGAAGCAUCGGUGAGGAGCAACCUCAGCUUUAUCUACACUGCAAUCAAAUGGUUCUUCCUGAUAUCCCAGUGGCUGUUCCCAGGCUGUAGUCUGCAGGUGCUAAUCCCGAUUCCUCAGAUCUUGAGAAUCUCAACUCUGUUGCUCCCCUGCAAUUGCAUAUGCGGUUGAGUUGGGAAAUUCCGAAGUAUGUGAAGAUGUGGAGAUAAUAAGAAAAUUGUCACAAAAAACACGGCGGGGGGGGGGGUUAAUUUGAUCUGUAUCGUUGCAAAUAUGUCUAUUUAGAUAAAUGCCAUUACAAUUCGUCUAUUCGUAGCCGUGGUACUGAAAUUUUACAAAGUUAGAACUAUGUCAUCGCCGUCACGUUUUUCAUUUUCUUCCCCAUAUGCACGUGGGACCCAGUGUUAGAUUCAUCUUCUUCUUUUUGCUCUCUCUUAUCAUCUUCCUUCACUCUCCCUUAUCGCCUUCAUAUGCAAGUUGUUCUUCAAAUAUUUGUUUGCGAUUUCUUUUGUCUUGGCAGAUUCGAAUCGGAGAAUGGAGGUUGCAGGUUACUACGAACCAGUUCGACGAGGAGGCGCGUGCAGCCUAUUCGGCGGAAUGCUCAAGAGGAACGCCAUGCUCAGGCCACCGCGCCAUGGCGAGGGGGAGAUGUCCCAGCAUGGAAGGGGGAGGUGGAGGCGACGGCAAUGGCGAUGGCUAAAGUAACGCAGUUUUGCUAUUUUCCACAAUAUCCGCCUCUUCUUUUCAAGGUUAUAGGCGGCACUUUUCUUUGUGAUUGUUGCUAGCACCUCUCCUAGCUAGGAAGGAAAGAGUUGAAGAGGUCAUACUUUACUACUGUUCAUGUUAUUUGUUUUAGCGUUAUCAAAGUUCUUUGGUACAAUGAUCAGAUUCAUAGUUCCACGUUCCAACUAUAUAUAAGUACCUAGCUCAGUAUGAUGUUUCAUGGUGGAGUAGUAGUUUGUAGUAAACUAUGAAAUAGUACCUCUGUCUCAGAAUAUAAGAAGUUUUAGAGUCGACACAAUUAUUAAUAAGAAAGUCGGUACAACUAAAUGGGAAGAGGUUACGAUUGGUGAAGUGAAUGAUGGAGGAUUAUAUAUGGUUGGUUGAGAAGGGAAUGUUAGUGGAUAAGUUGUUAUAUUUUGGGUCAAAUCCUGAGAGCUAAAGUUGUUAAUAGAGAGUAUUAACUAAAUAUUUGUAUUUGCUACUUGUAGUGGCCUGACAAAAACAUGUUGUGCCAAUAUUUGUCGUCAAAAUUCAAAAUUCAUUGUAUUGAGCAAGCAGGCAUUAUGCUCAGUAUCCCUAGCUAAGUCAACUUAAAUAUAUAUUAGAAUGCAAAUUAUAGAAUCACUAACUGGCGGCUAUUGAGUCUGAAUACAACUCAAGUCUCAAUUUCAUCUUAAAUUAAAUAAGAGUUUCUCAAGUCAAAAUGGAUACACACCAGUAUCCUGUGGCUCAGUUAAAUCUAUAGUAUCCAUAUGCGACAUCCUUGAGAAUUUUCUAGGUAAUGAAGGUGUAGUAAGUGUUGGACUACCGGAAGAAACUUGGAGAAAGACAUACUAGCUCCCAGGUUUCAAAUUAUGUGUCGUUUUAGUUUUUUUCUAAGUUAAACAGUCCUAACUUUGACUACCAAUUUCUACACAUUUGUAUAUAGUUUAACAACAUGUUAUGAAUGUAUUUCUUGUAGUCAAUCUAAAAACAUAAAAAUUUUAUUGAUAUAUUACACAAAUUUAUAGAAAAUGAUUGUCAAAGUUAAAAGAAUGUUUGACUUGAAAUAAAACUAGAACGACAAAACUAAAACAAGUAAUUUGAAAGGGAAGAAAUAUAGUAUUAUCUCUCAAAAGAUCUAAUAAAUAAAAAAAGGUAGAAUCAUGAUUUAUUCGUUUGUAAAGGUUUAAUUUCAAAUCAAUGACUAGCUUGUACAUAGAAGAAAAGUAGUGUACUUCUACAAAGACUUGACAAAAACAAAAAAGCAGUCUCACAUGGCACAAUAAUUAGUUUAGUACACUUGACGACCCAUAUUGCCAGUCAUUGCAACCAUUGACCAAUUCCCACAAUGUAGGACAAUAAAUUUGGUUGGAGUUAGGAAAACAUCUGGCAUCAGCAUUGACAUUUUGUUUCAAGUUCAAAGUCAUCACUUUGAAUUAAGAACCGGUCAGCAAAAAACAGUCCAGACCAGUCGCUAUCCUCUGUUAGCUAGCAGCCUUUUGGCACCAAUAAUUCAACUUUUACUCAGACCUGCUAUCUCACUAUAUAUAAGAUAGUCUCAUGGGUUUCAUGGUGUGCCAAAUUGUACAUGCUUAUUUCAAAAACUCAGCUCAAAAUGGCUUCUAGGUCUCCUGUGCUGCUGUUUGCGUUGAUGGUUUGUCUUGUCAUCGUCUCGCAGGGUGUCCUCGCUGCAAGGGAGCUUGUCGAGACAACCAAAGUUGUGGUAGAUGGAAUGAAAGUUGAGCUUCCUGAAGGCCGCAAAGGUGCAGCUGCUGUCUCGGGGUAUGGAGGCGGCUGGCCAGGGACAUACGGACACUAUCCAUGAUACAAUUGUAUAUUCUGGAUAUAUAAAAGGAUUAAUUUAGCUUAACCGUGUAUAUGUGCAUCUAUUUUAUUGUGUAUUUAGAAUGUGUUGUAUCGUUAUAAAUCUUUAAUUUUACACAUGUAUUUAAAGACGUCCUGCGAAGCAAUCGGAGAAGACAAAACGGAACACCA
Long non-coding RNA from Oryza sativa Japonica Group (Japanese rice), 2975 nucleotides. RefSeq lists it as uncharacterized. The record is from RefSeq and is a predicted model, not a curated record. NCBI's taxonomy places the organism in Eukaryota, Viridiplantae, Streptophyta, Magnoliopsida, Poales, Poaceae.